Non-coding RNA from Acanthosepion pharaonis, 111 nucleotides. The record is from the annotation of a GenBank genome assembly. Lineage: Eukaryota; Metazoa; Mollusca; Cephalopoda; Sepiida; Sepiidae.
UGUCCACAUCACGUUGAAACAACGUUACUCGUACGACUACCGAUGUUAAGCAUCGUCGGACGUGGUCAGUACUUACAUGGGUGACCACCUGUGAAGGCCAGCUGCUGUAAG